Paramacrobiotus metropolitanus is the source of this 1132-nucleotide long non-coding RNA. RefSeq lists it as uncharacterized. The transcript has 3 exons. NCBI's taxonomy places the organism in Eukaryota, Metazoa, Tardigrada, Eutardigrada, Parachela, Macrobiotidae. The record is from RefSeq and is a predicted model, not a curated record.
CUAGUUCAGAUUUUAUAUUUAUUGUUUUGGCGAAACAGCAUGUUGCAUUGAUACAGCGGGAUAAAGGUUUCAGGUCACAGUGUAUACACGAACUUCCUGCGUCUUACUCCCGAAAGCAUUCUGAAAAUUUGUCGAUUUUUAGUGCCAGGUUUCGAUAUGCCAAUAGACGAUAGUCAUACUUCCUAAAUUAUUCAAAAGUAUUGCAAAUCAUGGUCUUCUAACUUUGGUUUUGAAUUUGUAAUGUCAUAUAAGCCUUCGGUGGAGAAGGUGGUGUUAAUCCGCGCUGCUUUGCUUGCGUAUUACUAACUACUUAAUAUUAUAUUAUUAUUUUUUUAUUAUUUUCAUCUUUUAUGGUGUUUCAAAAUGAAGACAGCUAGUUUGACACAUUCUUAUGUCCAAUUUUUGAGUAUACUGUACAUAUUGUCACACUCCCUGAAACGACGCACUCGAGCAUUUGGCCAAAAUACAUCUGAUGUUACUGUCGCUGAAAUUGCAAAUAUUACCGAUACCACGGCCAAUACCAUCACAACCAGCGCUAUCAGUACUACCACCACCACAACCGCGAGCUUUGGUGAACUGCACCCGCCAACUUCUGUUCCACUCGUUGAAGCAAACGCAACCACCGGCAAUCCUCUUGGGCUGCCUACUGCUGGCGCAAGCGCCGGUAUUGCUAUCGGAAUAUUGGCUUUUUUGAUCGUAAUCGCUGUGGCGAUGUGGAAACUAGGACCAUGCUGCCAAACACCGGUGCCGACAUGAUUGCGCAAAUUGUUUUCCAUCACUUCUAAGCCCCAUCCAGUGUGAUUGCUUUCCAUUAAAGUUGACGGUCCCUGACAGAAGUCCUACCCUAAUUAAAAAUUUUACCCUGUAAAUCCAAGCUGCUCUCUACCAACGCACGCUCACGUGCAUUUUUUUUAGUUUACGAGUGGUUUAAUGCAGCUGCUUGCCUGUUUGUUGUUGUUUGACAAACGAAUAGCCUUACUUAUCAGCAGCAUCUCCUGCUUCUGCUUUUCUUUCUUUUUCUGCCGUCAUCAGGCUGAGACUCCACUUGAGUCCCCUCUUCCGAUGCCCCCAGGGGUGUCUGUAAAUAAAGGUCAGUUACGGGUAAAAGUAUAUAAAAGCGCGCGAAUGGUUA